GAGAGCGUAGCUCAGUCGGUAGAGCAAAGGACUUUUAAUCCUUGGGUCGAGAGUUCGAGUCUCUCCGCUCUCA
This 73-nucleotide transfer RNA is filed under the name Pirellula sp. SH-Sr6A. It matches the Rfam family "tRNA". From Rfam's summary of the family: Transfer RNA (tRNA) molecules are approximately 80 nucleotides in length. Their secondary structure includes four short double-helical elements and three loops (D, anti-codon, and T loops). RNAcentral also lists the same sequence under 3 other names. The record is from Rfam by way of RNAcentral. Lineage: Bacteria; Pseudomonadati; Planctomycetota; Planctomycetia; Pirellulales; Pirellulaceae.